UCCAGACUCCUACGGGAGGCAGCAGUUAGGAAUAUUCGGCAAUGGGGGAAACCCUGACCGAGCAAUGCCGCGUGUGAGAUGACGGCCCUAUGGGUUGUAAAUCACUUUUAUUUGGGAAGAAUUGUAAGCAUAGGAAAUGAUGUUUACUUGACGGUACCUUUUGAAUAAGCCCCGGCUAACUACGUGCCAGCAGCCGCGGUAAUACGUAGGGGGCGAGCGUUAUCCGGAUUUAUUGGGCGUAAAGCGUGCGUAGGCGGUAUGUCAAGUCAAGGGUGAAAUCCCCGCGCUCAACGUGGGAACUGCCUUUGAAACUGGCAAACUGGAGUGUGUGAGAGGAUAGUGGAAUUCCAGGUGUAGGAGUGAAAUCCGUAGAUAUCUGGAGGAACAUCAGUGGCGAAGGCGACUAUCUGGCACAUAACUGACGCUGAGGAGCGAAAGCGUGGGUAGCAAACAGGAUUAGAUACCCCCGUAA
Molecule: ribosomal RNA, 472 nt
Filed under: uncultured bacterium
Lineage: Bacteria
Description: bacterial SSU rRNA
Rfam family: Bacterial small subunit ribosomal RNA
Source: RNAcentral